Molecule: ribosomal RNA, 253 nt
Filed under: uncultured bacterium
Lineage: Bacteria
Description: partial 16S ribosomal RNA
Rfam family: Bacterial small subunit ribosomal RNA
Source: RNAcentral
UACGUAGGGGGCGAGCGUUGUCCGGAAUUACUGGGCGUAAAGGGCGCGUAGGCGGCCCGUUAAGUCCGCUGUGAAAGACCGAGGCUCAACCUCGGGGUGUCAGCGGAGACUGUCGGGCUGGAGUCUCGGAGAGGGAUGCGGAAUUCCUGGUGUAGCGGUGGAAUGCGUAGAGAUCAGGAGGAACACCGAUGGCGAAGGCAGCAUCCUGGCCGAGUACUGACGCUGAGGCGCGAAAGCGUGGGGAGCGAACGGG